Molecule: ribosomal RNA, 1450 nt
Filed under: uncultured Bordetella sp.
Lineage: Bacteria; Pseudomonadati; Pseudomonadota; Betaproteobacteria; Burkholderiales; Alcaligenaceae
Description: partial 16S-23S ribosomal RNA intergenic spacer
Rfam family: Bacterial small subunit ribosomal RNA
Source: RNAcentral
AGUCGAUUCGGCCCAGACGAACGCUGGCGGAUGCUUUUACACAUGCAAGUCGAACGGCAGCAUUGACUUCGGUCUGGUGGCGAGUGGCGAACGGUGAGAAAUGGUCGUGGAACGCUCUAGUAGCGGGGGAUAACUACGCGAAAGCGUAGCUAAGGUCGGAAGAGUGGCCUCGGGGAAAGCGGGGACCUUCGGGCCUCGCACCAUUAGAGCGGCCGAUAUCGGAUUAGCUAGUUGGUGGGGUAACGGCUCACCAUGGCGACGAUCCGUAGCUGGUUUGAGAGGACGACCAGCCACACUGGGACUGAGACACGGCCCAGACUCCUACGGGAGGCAGCAGUGGGGUAAUGGAUAAUGGGGAACUCGAUCCAGCCAUCCUCGCGUGUAUAUUGAAGGGCCUUCGGGUUGUGUGGGCAACUUUUGGCAGGAAAGAAACGGCACGGGAUAAUACCCCUGUGCAACUGACGGUACCUGCAGAAUAAGCACCGGCUAACCACGUGCCAGCAGCCGCGGUAAUACGUAGGGUGCAAGCGUUAAUCGGAAUUACUGGGCGUAAAGCGUGCGCAGGCGGUUCGAAAGAAAGAUGUGAAAUCCCAGAGCUUAACUUCUUUGGAACUGCAUUUUUAACUACCGAAUAGAGAAAUGGAGUAGGUAAAUCUCGCCAGGGCAGGGAAAUGCGUAGAUAUGCGGAGAACACCGAUGGCGAAGGCAGCCUCUGUGGAUAACACUGACGCUCAUAAUAAAGCGUGGGGAGCAAACAGGAUUAGAUACCCGUACCACGCCCUAAACGAUGUCAACUAGCUGUUAGCCCGCCGGCAGCAGGUAAAGUUAAUCGCGGUGAAGUUGACCGCCUGGGGAGUACGGUCUUUAGAUAAACUCCAGCGACUGACGGGACCGCACAAAGUUAUGAUGACGUGGAUUAGUUCGGAUGCAACGCGAAAACCUUACCUACCCUUGACAUGUCUGGAAUCCCGAAGAGAUUUGGGAGUGCUCGCAAGGAGAACCGGAACACAGGUGCUGCAUGGCUGUCGUCAGCUCGUGUCGUGAGAUGUUGGGUUAAGUCCCGCAACGAGCGCAACCCUUGUCAUUAGUUGCUGAAAGGGCACUCUAAUGAGACUGCCGGUGACAAACCGGAGGAAGGUGGGGAUGACGUCAAGUCCUCAUGGCCCUUGCGGUGGUGGCUUCACAAUGUCACACAAUGGCUCGGGACAGAGGGUCGCCAACCCGCGAGGUAUUUUCAAUCCAGAAACCCGAUCGUAGUCUGAUCGGCUCGCACCUGAUCGCGAAGUCGGAAUCGCUAGUAAUCGCGGAUCAGCAUGUCGCGGUGAAUACGCCCCGUCUUGCACCCGUCACACCAUGGGAGUGGGUUUUACCAGAAGUAGUUAGGCCUAACCGUAAGGGAGGGCGAUUACCACGGUAGGAUUCAUGACUGGGUGAAGUCGUAACAAGGUAA